RNAcentral lists this ribosomal RNA (496 nucleotides) under uncultured bacterium. Its description in RNAcentral is "partial 16S ribosomal RNA". It matches the Rfam family "Bacterial small subunit ribosomal RNA", at positions 29 to 507 of the family's 1533-position model. The record is from RNAcentral.
AUGCACGCUGGCGGCGUGCCUAAUACAUGCAAGUCGAGCGAACAGACGAGGAGCUUGCUCCUCUGACGUUAGCGGCGGACGGGUGAGUAACACGUGGAUAACCUACCUAUAAGACUGGGAUAACUUCGGGAAACCGGAGCUAAUACCGGAUAAUAUAUUGAACCGCAUGGUUCAAUAGUGAAAGACGGUUUUGCUGUCACUUAUAGAUGGAUCCGCGCCGCAUUAGCUAGUUGGUAAGGUAACGGCUUACCAAGGCAACGAUGCGUAGCCGACCUGAGAGGGUGAUCGGCCACCCUGGAACUGAGACACGGUCCAGACUCCGACGGGAGGCAGCAGUAGGGAAUCUUCCGAAAUGGGCGAAAGCCUGACGGAGCAACGCCGCGUGAGUGAUGAAGGUCUUCGGAUCGUAAAACUCUGUUAUUAGGGAAGAACAAAUGUGUAAGUAACUAUGCACGUCUUGACGGUACCUAAUCAGAAAGCCACGGCUAACUACGUG